RNAcentral lists this ribosomal RNA (305 nucleotides) under uncultured bacterium. RNAcentral describes it as "partial 16S ribosomal RNA". It matches the Rfam family "Bacterial small subunit ribosomal RNA", at positions 508 to 807 of the family's 1533-position model. The record is from RNAcentral.
ACAGCAGCCGCCGCGGUAAAACGUAGGGUGCAAGCGUUAAUCGGAAUUACUGGGCGUAAAGCGUGCGCAGGCGGUUAUAUAAGACAGAUGUGAAAUCCCCGGGCUCAACCUGGGAACUGCAUUUGUGACUGUAUAGCUAGAGUACGGCAGAGGGGGAUGGAAUUCCGCGUGUAGCAGUGAAAUGCGUAGAUAUGCGGAGGAACACCGAUGGCGAAGGCAAUCCCCUGGGCCUGUACUGACGCUCAUGCACGAAAGCGUGGGGAGCAAACAGGAUUAGAUACCCCCGUAGUCCCUGUCUCUUAUAC